RNAcentral lists this ribosomal RNA (501 nucleotides) under uncultured bacterium. Its description in RNAcentral is "partial 16S ribosomal RNA". It matches the Rfam family "Bacterial small subunit ribosomal RNA", at positions 30 to 523 of the family's 1533-position model. The record is from RNAcentral.
AUUGAACGCUGGCGGUAUGCUUAACACAUGCAAGUCGAACGGCAGCAUAAUCUUCGGAUUGAUGGCGAGUGGCGGACGGGUGAGUAAUAUAUAGGAAUCUGCCUUGUAGUGGGGGAUAACUAUCCGAAAGGAUAGCUAAUACCGCAUAAUGAUUACGGUUUAAAGCAGGGGAUCUUCGGACCUUGCGCUACAAGUUGAGCCUAUACAAGAUUAGCUAGUUGGUGAGGUAAAGGCUCACCAAGGCGACGAUCUUUAGCUGGUCUGAGAGGAUGAUCAGCCACACUGGGACUGAGACACGGCCCAGACUCUUACGGGAGGCAGCAGUGGGGAAUAUUGGACAAUGGGCGCAAGCCUGAUCCAGCAAUACCGCGUGUGUGAAGAAGGCCUUCGGGUUGUAAAGCACUUUUGUUAGGGAGGAUGGUGAUUCUGGCGAAUACCCAAAGUCAUUGACGUUACCUAAAGAAUAAGCACCGGCUAACUCUGUGCCAGCAGCCGCGGUAA